Suricata suricatta (meerkat) is the source of this 3203-nucleotide RNA transcript. It is a transcript of the gene named mast cell immunoglobulin like receptor 1, with no coding region annotated. Lineage: Eukaryota; Metazoa; Chordata; Mammalia; Carnivora; Herpestidae. The record is from RefSeq and is a predicted model, not a curated record. The transcript is spliced from 10 exons.
UAUGGUCAUCACGCCUUCUGUGUCCUUUUCUCUAAUUUCUUCUGAGACAAUGUGGAGCUGUUUGAACAAACUGUUCUUUUAGGGCAUUUUUUCAUCUCUCACACGGAUGGCUCCAUUUGCCGUUUUGAAGCUUGUGUCUCCAAACCAAAACACGAUGUGGAAAAAGAGUUUUCUCAUGUUCCUUUUCUCUCUUUCAGUUCAAAGAGCUGCCCUGGAUUGUGAGGGGAGAAGAAUAAGCCAACUCCCUUCUCCAAGUCUGAACUCAAAAACAAAUGCAGUCAUGAGGGGUCAAAAUGUAUCUUUAAUUUGUUCCAUCCAGAACCAAUCACUACAGAUCACCUAUUUUUUGUUUCGGCACAAUAAGCACCUGAGAACCCAGAACGGAAAAGGUGAACCUGUGAUUUUUAACCUAAGCAUCUCAGAAGCCCAUGAUUUGGGACCCUACAAAUGCAAAGUCCAAGUUUCUAACUGUUCAGUGAUCAAAUACAGUCAUGAGAUCAACUUCAUCUUUGUUGACCCAGUGAUUACACCAGUGCUGGAUGUUAACGUCAUCAAAAUAGAAACAGACCGACAUAUAAUACUGCGUUGCAUCUCAUUCAACGGCUCUCUGCCCAUCAAUUAUACCUUCUUUGAGAAAGAUACUGCCAUAUCACCAGCCAUUUCCAAGUACGUAAGGGAGCCUGCUGAAUUCAACUUAACCAAGAGAAACGCGGGAGGAAGAGAAGAGUAUAGAUGCAAAGCUAAAAACAAAUUGCCUGACCACGCAAAAUACAGUCAGCCGGUCUUCAUCAAUCCCUCGACAGAUGGAGGCAGCUGUCCUCUCUGCCUGCAGCUGCUGCUUCCGGGAUCACUGCUGGGGCUGAUAGUAAUAAUCUCAAUUCUGACAUUUUGGAUACUACCGAAGUACAAAGCAAAUGUAGGGAAAGCUAUGAGAGAUCAGGCACGCAGCAACUGUGGAAAUACACCCAUGGAAACUGGAAUAUAUGCGAAUAUCUGUGAAACUCAAGCAGGCGAGGAAUCCGUGCCUGGCUUGGAACCCCGGCAGUGUGUUCCCGCAGCCCGAGACGGAGCUGAACACUCUUGGGAGAUACAUUAUGCUACCCCCAUGUUCCAGGAGGUGGCACCAGGACAUCAUGAAGCCUGUAAUGAUGGUAAAACUGGAUCUAUCUAUUCUGAACUCGUCAGAAGAUGACAUUUAAAGAUACAAGCUACAUCUCAGAGUGAAGAAAUAUUUUCUCAACUUGAGGUCAUACAGAUGGUCUUACAAUCUGGACGCCAGAGAGCUUCUGCCACCUUUACCCUGGUCGCCUCCCGCCACAAGAGCCUCAGGCCCGGACACUGGGGGCUACACAUGGGGGGUGAGCUCUGCCACUGCAGGCAUCUGCUUCUCAGCGACAAUCACCACCUUCCUUUCUACCUUCCGGACUCCACCCCCCCCCCCCCCAGCACGUGGGUCUAACUGGAAGAUAUUCACAACCAUAUACAUCCUGGCAGAAAGGGAAUUGUAACUUUUUAGGUUUCUGAUGCCACUAAAUAGAAGGAGGGUCCCGAUGAUGCUUAGGAGAGCCACUCAAAGUAUCUACCACAUUAGCCAAAAUAUCAAUCACGACUGAGGGUAAAAUGAAGGCAUUUUAAGACAGAGCCCAAGAAGGGUACACUAAAUACUUGAAGAAUAAACCUGAACACAGAUGAAGAAUGUAAGAUUCAAGUAGCAUAAACUAACCAUAAAUGACAGAUGUCAGGGGGACAGGGAGAGAGAGGUGUGCAUAAGGUUUGGAAACAUUAUAAAACCACCUGACGGGGGGCUCGAACUCAAGAACCGUGAGAUCAUGACCUGAGCCUAAAUCAAGAGUUGGACGCUCAGCUGACUAAACUACCCAGGGUCUUGACCACCUCUCUGACCUCAUCUUCUACCCAUCUCCCCUCCGCUCAUCUCCGGCUCCCCUGUUCCUUCUUUCUGCUCCUUGAUCAUUCCACACCGUUUCCCUCCUAAGGGCCUUGGCUCUCGCUAGUCCCGCUGCCCAGAAUGCACUGCCCCAGAUCCUCACACACCUGGCCCCUUUGCAUCAUUCAGCCUCAAUUUGAAGGUCACAUCCUCAGAGCUUCCCUGACAAUCUAUGCAAAACACACUUCCCAGCCAUGAUCUAGCACAUCAUCCUGUUCUAUUACCUACAACACUAUCACCAUCUGAAAUGACCUGAAAUUGUCCAUGUGCCUCCUGCUUAGCAUCUGUCCCCACCUGCCCACCCCCAGAAGGGACCUGUCUGUGUUGUUCACCACUACAGCCUUAGCACUUACGGUCCCUGGGGCUUAGGUGCUCAGAAAGCCUUUCUGAAUGAAUGAACAAGAUGAACAAACAGAGAACACAUACAAUAACAGGCGGUCUUAAGGAGAAGCACAACUAUCUGAGAGAAACUUCUCCCAUGCUUCCUUAGAGGAAGACUUGGUGUAACAGCAAACAAAUGCCUCCAAAGCCACUCUUAUGGCUAAAUCAAUAAUGAGUUCAUAGAACUAUUUCUAGCAACAUCUUUCAAUAGAUUUUGGUGUAGUGGAAUACACAGGAAGGGUAUUUGGUAAAAAAAAAAAAAAAAGUAUUAGAAAUAAUGGGAUUGGAGGGAAAAAUACAUCAGAACACUACCAUGCAGGUAUGAGGUAUGCAGCUCUCUGACAGAUUUAAUGAUAACUGCCACUGGGGUGAGCAUCAGAAAUCAACUGUACGUUUUAAAAAUAUACUUGCGUGGGCCCCGCUGUCAGAGACUGUUAUCAGGAAAGAAUAGGGCUCAAAUAUAUUCAGAUUUUACAGAGCUCCACAGGGGAUUCUGAUGUAGAGCUAUAGUUGGACAUCUCUGAUCGGGAUAAACCUCCGUAUUACUUACCUCACCUGCAGUGUGAACACUCUCUGUUGCCAAUUAGUGCAGAUGCCUUGGCAGUCACACCAGGAAUACGAUCCUCCUGUGAAGGCUGGGGCCCCUAAAAGGAUGAGGUACCUAAAUAAAAGAACCUGUCGGCAGGAUUGAGAUUUUUCCUUAGAAAAAUACUGUUUUAUAACUUAAAAAAAUUCUUACACUUAUAUUGAAACUAAGUAUUGAACCCCAAAAUGCAAAAAUGAAAUUUAAACUUUUAAGGAGAUGCACAGGGGGUCAUAUUGGUAUUGCAAUUCUGAGACUGCUGUAAUUAAGGUAAAAUAAAGCAAAUGAACAGUU